Molecule: ribosomal RNA, 3387 nt
Filed under: Salmonella enterica subsp. enterica serovar Derby
Lineage: Bacteria; Pseudomonadati; Pseudomonadota; Gammaproteobacteria; Enterobacterales; Enterobacteriaceae
Description: bacterial LSU rRNA
Rfam family: Bacterial large subunit ribosomal RNA
Source: RNAcentral
ACUAAGCGUACACGGUGGAUGCCCUGGCAGUCAGAGGCGAUGAAGGACGUGCUAAUCUGCGAUAAGCGCCGGUAAGGUGAUAUGAACCGUUAUAACCGGCGAUUUCCGAAUGGGGAAACCCAGUGUGAUUCGUCACACUAUCAUUAACUGAAUCCAUAGGUUAAUGAGGCGAACCGGGGGAACUGAAACAUCUAAGUACCCCGAGGAAAAGAAAUCAACCGAGAUUCCCCCAGUAGCGGCGAGCGAACGGGGAGGAGCCCAGAGCCUGAAUCAGCAUGUGUGUUAGUGGAAGCGUCUGGAAAGGCGCGCGAUACAGGGUGACAGCCCCGUACACAAAAGCGCAUGUGUUGUGAGCUCGAUGAGUAGGGCGGGACACGUGGUAUCCUGUCUGAAUAUGGGGGGACCAUCCUCCAAGGCUAAAUACUCCUGACUGACCGAUAGUGAACCAGUACCGUGAGGGAAAGGCGAAAAGAACCCCGGCGAGGGGAGUGAAAAAGAACCUGAAACCGUGUACGUACAAGCAGUGGGAGCUGAGGGAAAGGCGAAAAGAACCCCGGCGAGGGGAGUGAAAAAGAACCUGAAACCGUGUACGUACAAGCAGUGGGAGCCCCACCACUAAGCCAGUGGUGAACUCCACAUACGCAUCCUUUGCUGAGGAUACGGUUAACGGAGCGCAAGCGACGUUCAACCGCAAAAGAAGCAGAGGGGGCUUAGUGGUGGGGUGACUGCGUACCUUUUGUAUAAUGGGUCAGCGACUUAUAUUCUGUAGCAAGGUUAACCGUAUAGGGGAGCCGGAGGGAAACCGAGUCUUAAUUGGGCGUUAAGUUGCAGGGUAUAGACCCGAAACCCGGUGAUCUAGCCAUGGGCAGGUUNAGGGAAACCGAGUCUUAACCGGGCGUUAAGUUGCAGGGUAUAGACCCGAAACCCGGUGAUCUAGCCAUGGGCAGGUUGAAGGUUGGGUAACACUAACUGGAGGACCGAACCGACUAAUGUUGAAAAAUUAGCGGAUGACCUGUGGCUGGGGGUGAAAGGCCAAUCAAACCGGGAGAUAGCUGGUUCUCCCCGAAAGCUAUUUAGGUAGCGCCUCGUGAAUUCAUCUCCGGGGGUAGAGCACUGUUUCGGCUAGGGGGCCAUCCCGGCUUACCAACCCGAUGCAAACUGCGAAUACCGGAGAAUGUUAUCACGGGAGACACACGGCGGGUGCUAACGUCCGUCGUGAAGAGGGAAACAACCCAGACCGCCAGCUAAGGUCCCAAAGUCAUGGUUAAGUGGGAAACGAUGUGGGAAGGCCCAGACAGCCAGGAUGUUGGCUUAGAAGCAGCCAUCAUUUAAAGAAAGCGUAAUAGCUCACUGGUCGAGUCGGCCUGCGCGGAAGAUGUAACGGGGCUAAACCAUGCACCGAAGCUGCGGCAGCGAGUAAUAGCUCACUGGUCGAGUCGGCCUGCGCGGAAGAUGUAACGGGGCUAAACCAUGCACCGAAGCUGCGGCAGCGAACGUAUCACUUAAAGCGAUUCAGCGGGUUACGAUUGACGGAGCGAAGCGACGUCAAAGCGUAUACAAAGUCGAGUCGGUUUAAGGAUACGUUCGUUGGGUAGGGGAGCGUUCUGUAAGCCUGUGAAGGUGGCCUGUGAGGGUUGCUGGAGGUAUCAGAAGUGCGAAUGCUNGUUGGGUAGGGGAGCGUUCUGUAAGCCUGUGAAGGUGGCCUGUGAGGGUUGCUGGAGGUAUCAGAAGUGCGAAUGCUGACAUAAGUAACGAUAAAGCGGGUGAAAAGCCCGCUCGCCGGAAGACCAAGGGUUCCUGUCCAACGUUAAUCGGGGCAGGGUGAGUCGACCCCUAAGGCGAGGCCGAAAGGCGUAGUCGAUGGGAAACGGGUUAAUAUUCCCGUACUUGGUGUUACUGCGAAGGGGGGACGGAGAAGGCUAUGUUGGCCGGGCGACGGUUGUCCCGGUUUAAGCGUGUAGGUGUGUGUUCCAGGUAAAUCCGGUUCACUUUAACACUGAGGCGUGAUGACGAGGCACUACGGUGCUGAAGCAACAAAUGCCCUGCUUCCAGGAAAAGCCUCUAAGCAUCAGGUAACAUCAAAUCGUACCCCAAACCGACACAGGUGGUCAGGUAGAGAAUACCAAGGCGCUUGAGAGAACUCGGGUGAAGGAACUAGGCAAAAUGGUGCCGUAACUUCGGGAGAAGGCACGCUGACAUGUAGGUGAAGUGAUUUACUCAUGGAGCUGAAGUCAGUCGAAGAUACCAGCUGGCUGCAACUGUUUAUUAAAAACACAGCACUGUGCAAACACGAAAGUGGACGUAUACGGUGUGACGCCUGCCCGGUGCCGGAAGGUUAAUUGAUGGGGUCAGCGCAAGCGAAGCUCCUGAUCGAAGCCCCGGUAAACGGCGGCCGUAACUAUAACGGUCCUAAGGUAGCGAAAUUCCUUGUCGGGUAAGUUCCGACCUGCACGAAUGGCGUAAUGAUGGCCAGGCUGUCUCCACCCGAGACUCAGUGAAAUUGAACUCGCUGUGAAGAUGCAGUGUACCCGCGGCAAGACGGAAAGACCCCGUGAACCUUUACUAUAGCUUGACACUGAACAUUGAGCCUUGAUGUGUAGGAUAGGUGGGAGGCUUUGAAGUGUGGACGCCAGUCUGCGUGGAGCCGGCCUUGAAAUACCACCCUUUAAUGUUUGAUGUUCUAACGUGGACCCGUAAUCCGGGUUGCGGACAGUGUCUGGUGGGUAGUUUGACUGGGGCGGUCUCCUCCUAAAGAGUAACGGAGGAGCACGAAGGUUGGCUAAUCCUGGUCGGACAUCAGGAGGUUAGUGCAAUGGCAUAAGCCAGCUUGACUGCGAGCGUGACGGCGCGAGCAGGUGCGAAAGCAGGUCAUAGUGAUCCGGUGGUUCUGAAUGGAAGGGCCAUCGCUCAACGGAUAAAAGGUACUCCGGGGAUAACAGGCUGAUACCGCCCAAGAGUUCAUAUCGACGGCGGUGUUUGGCACCUCGAUGUCGGCUCAUCACAUCCUGGGGCUGAAGUAGGUCCCAAGGGUAUGGCUGUUCGCCAUUUAAAGUGGUACGCGAGCUGGGUUUAGAACGUCGUGAGACAGUUCGGUCCCUAUCUGCCGUGGGCGCUGGAGAACUGAGGGGGGCUGCUCCUAGUACGAGAGGACCGGAGUGGACGCAUCACUGGUGUUCGGGUUGUCAUGCCAAUGGCACUGCCCGGUAGCUAAAUGCGGAAGAGAUAAGUGCUGAAAGCAUCUAAGCACGAAACUUGCCCCGAGAUGAGUUCUCCCUGAGACUUAAAGUCUCCUGAAGGAACGUUGAAGACGACGACGUUGAUAGGCCGGGUGUGUAAGCGCAGCGAUGCGUUGAGCUAACCGGUACUAAUGAACCGUGAGGCUUAACC